GAUGAACGCUGGCGGCGUGCCUAAUACAUGCAAGUCGAGCGAACGGACGAGAAGCUUGCUUCUCUGAUGUUAGCGGCAGACGGGUGAGUAACACGUGGAUAACCUACCUAUAAGACUGGGAUAACUUCGGGAAACCGUAGCUAAUACCGGAUAAUAUUUUGAACCGCAUGGUUCAAAAGUGAAAGACGGUCUUGCUGUCACUUAUAGAUGGAUCCGCGCUGCAUUAGCUAGUUGGUAAGGUAACGGCUUACCAAGGCAACGAUGCAUAGCCGACCUGAGAGGGUGAUCGGCCACACUGGAACUGAGACACGGUCCAGACUCCUACGGGAGGCAGCAGUAGGGAAUCUUCCGCAAUGGGCGAAAGCCUGACGGAGCAACGCCGCGUGAGUGAUGAAGGUCUUCGGAUCGGAAAACUCUGUUAUUAGGGAAGAACAUAUGUGUAAGUAACUGUGCACAUCUUGACGGGACCUAAUCAGAAAGCCACGGCUAACUACG
RNAcentral lists this ribosomal RNA (495 nucleotides) under uncultured bacterium. Its description in RNAcentral is "partial 16S ribosomal RNA". It matches the Rfam family "Bacterial small subunit ribosomal RNA", at positions 28 to 505 of the family's 1533-position model. The record is from RNAcentral.